This is a long non-coding RNA of Crotalus tigris (Tiger rattlesnake), 1605 nucleotides long. RefSeq lists it as uncharacterized. NCBI's taxonomy places the organism in Eukaryota, Metazoa, Chordata, Lepidosauria, Squamata, Viperidae. The transcript has 3 exons. The record is from RefSeq and is a predicted model, not a curated record.
AUAAGCAAUCCACCCAGCAAAGCUGACACACAUAAGAUAAAGAUUUCACCCAGCACGUCUGGCACAUUGUAAACAAGAAGGGUGAAAGCAGAAGUAGCUAAGAACGUUCCCUUUAGGAUGUUUCUCUAAAGACAUCGUAUAUUCCCAGGUGGGUUAGGAUAUUGGAUGUUUUCCUUGCUGUCCUUUCAUGACCCUGCAUCCCCGACUCUGCAGGUGCCCAAAGACAGCAGGGCCAUCUGCACAUAUUCACAAUUGAUACUUCCUAUGCUGUCUCCUAAUUCCGGGUCAAAAGUCCUCUGGUUGGCGUGCAUGGUCGCUGGGAGCCGCAGGAAGACAGUACGCGCAGUUUUCGGGAGGCCCGUUUGCAAAGCCACGGGUAGCGGAGAGAUGAGCUAAUGCUGGGCUGGGAGGCUCAGCUGGAGCUCUGCAGAUUCAGCGCGCGAAUCUGGAAUUCCGGCAGCCUCCGCUUUAGCCGGCAGCACCACAGAACCCUUGGAGUGGAGCUGCCUGAGCUCCGCUGAGGCCCCCAGGAUCGGCAUGGGGAGCUGCAACUGAUCGGCGCUGCCCAGGAAAUAAUUAUGUCAAGAAAAAGAAUGCAGGAUAUUUCAAGAACAAUGGACUUAGAUUACUUUUUCAUACAGUACAAGGAAAAGGCUUUUUGUCUGAUUUGCCAGAAUUCAGUGUCUGUCUUCAAGGAAUACAUUUUGCAUCAACACUACAAAACUCAACAUAAAGAUAAAUAUGAUUGUUUGGGCGGACAGAUGAAAAAAGAUAAAAUAUUAAAACUGAAAAAUGGAUUGAAAACUCAGGAAAAUACUUUUGUGAAGCAGAAGCAGCUAUUUCAUCACUGCAAGCAAGUUUUCAAGUUACCAAGCUAAUACUGGCAGUGUACUGGCAGACCAGGGAUAAUUUGUUAAAGAAUGCCUUCUUUCUGUUGCUAAAGAGAUGUGUCCAGAGAAGGCUGAUUUAAUACAGUGAGUCUUUCAGGACCUACAAUUAUAGGAAGAAUUGAAGAAAUGGGCAAUUUGCAUCAGCAGUUGCAAAACUCCUCCCAAAAACUUUGCUAUUUUUCAUUGGGCUCGACAAAAGCAAUGAUGUUCGUGAUUCUGCACAACUUCUAAUUUUCAUUUGCGGGACCAAUGAUUAUUUCAAAAUCGCAGAGGAGCUGGCUGCACUGAAAAGCAUCAGAGGACAAACAACAGGAGAGGAUAUCUAUGAAAUGAUUCGCCAAGUUGUAAAUGAUUUAAAGCUGGACUGGGAUAAACUAGCCAGUGUGACAACUGAUGGUGCUCCUAGCAUGGUGGGGUCUACGAAAGGAGUGGUUGCACGCAUUAACCAAGAGAUGGACAAACAUAACCAUUCGCAUCCAGUAGCCAUUACACUGCCUCAUCCACCAACAGGCACUAUGUUGUAAAUCACCGAAGUGGGACUCCGUCAUGAAAAUUGUGGUUAUCUUGUGUUAACUUCAUUAGAGCUCAUGCACUAAACCAGGGCUUUUCAACCAGUGGUACGGGUACCACCUGUGGUACAUUGGGACCUGGCAGGUGGUAUGUGACCAUCCUAGAAAAGUGGUAGCGGGGGAGGGGAAUAAGCUAAACCGGUGGC